GAUGAACGCUGGCGGCGUGCUUAACACAUGCAAGUCGAGCGAGAAGUUUUGAAAAGAUUCUUCGGAUGAAAUUUAAAAUGGAAAGCGGCGGACGGGUGAGUAACGCGUAGGCAACCUGCCCCAUACAAAGGGAUAGCAUUUGGAAACGAAUAUUAAUACCUUAUGAAACUUAACUAGUGCAUGCUAGGUAGGUCAAAGAUUUAUCGGUAUGGGAUGGGCCUGCGUCUGAUUAGCUAGUUGGUGAGGUAACGGCUCACCAAGGCGACGAUCAGUAGCCGACCUGGGAGGGUGAACGGCCACAUUGGAACUGAGACACGGUCCAAACUCCUACGGGAGGCAGCAGUGGGGAAUAUUGCACAAUGGGGGAAACCCUGAUGCAGCAACGCCGCGUGAACGAUGAAGGCCUUUGGGUCGUAAAGUUCUGUUCUAGGUGAUGAAAACUGACAGUAACCUAGGAGAAAGCCCCGGCUAACUCCGUG
RNAcentral lists this ribosomal RNA (479 nucleotides) under uncultured bacterium. RNAcentral's name for it is "partial 16S ribosomal RNA". It matches the Rfam family "Bacterial small subunit ribosomal RNA", at positions 28 to 507 of the family's 1533-position model. The record is from RNAcentral.